Molecule: ribosomal RNA, 383 nt
Filed under: Mycobacterium sp.
Lineage: Bacteria; Bacillati; Actinomycetota; Actinomycetes; Mycobacteriales; Mycobacteriaceae
Description: bacterial SSU rRNA
Rfam family: Bacterial small subunit ribosomal RNA
Source: RNAcentral
GCGUUGUUCGUGAAAACUCACAGCUUAACUGUGGGCGUGCGGGCGAUACGGGCAGACUAGAGUACUGCAGGGGAGACUGGAAUUCCUGGUGUAGCGGUGGAAUGCGCAGAUAUCAGGAGGAACACCGGUGGCGAAGGCGGGUCUCUGGGCAGUAACUGACGCUGAGGAGCGAAAGCGUGGGGAGCGAACAGGAUUAGAUACCCUGGUAGUCCACGCCGUAAACGGUGGGUACUAGGUGUGGGUUUCCUUCCUUGGGAUCCGUGCCGUAGCUAACGCAUUAAGUACCCCGCCUGGGGAGUACGGCCGCAAGGCUAAAACUCAAAGGAAUUGACGGGGGCCCGCACAAGCGGCGGAGCAUGUGGAUUAAUUCGAUGCAACGCGAA